CCCUUAGAUGUUCGGGGCCGCACGCGCGCUACACUGAAGGAAUCAGCACGUCUUUCUCCUUGUCCGAAAGGACUGGGUAACCCGCUGAACCUCCUUCGUGCUAGGGAUUGGGGCUUGUAAUUCUUCCCCAUGAACGAGGAAUUCCCAGUAAGCGCGAGUCAUAAGCUCGCGUUGAUUACGUCCCUGUCCUUUGUACACACCGCCCGUCGCUACUACCGAUUGGAUGGUUUAGUGAGAUCCUCGGAUUGGUCCCGGAGCGGCCUCUGGUCGUGCCGGAGUGCCGAAAAGAAUGUCGAACUUGAUCAUCUAGAGGAAGUAAAAGUCGUAACA
Molecule: ribosomal RNA, 330 nt
Filed under: uncultured eukaryote
Lineage: Eukaryota
Description: partial 18S ribosomal RNA
Rfam family: Eukaryotic small subunit ribosomal RNA
Source: RNAcentral